Molecule: long non-coding RNA, 3408 nt
Organism: Cuculus canorus (common cuckoo)
Lineage: Eukaryota; Metazoa; Chordata; Aves; Cuculiformes; Cuculidae
Exons: 20
Source: RefSeq, a predicted model, not a curated record
CAUUCUGAGUCCCGUCAGUCCUGUUGCGUACCUUUGUCAGCCACCUGGAUGAGGGGAUCGGGCGUUGCCUCGGUCAGUUUGCAGAGGACACGGAGCUGGGCGGAUAGGUCGCUCUGCCAGAGGGUAGGGAGGCUCCGCAGAGGGGAGUUUUUCUGUUUACAGGAACACCAAGGAUGACACAGCAACUAGCGGUGACUGUGCAACAGAGGAGACUGGCAGAGGUUGACAGGUUUCAAGUGAAGACGGGAAUCCUGUUUCACAAUCAAAAAGAGCAGAACUUCGAUGAACUUUCCGUGCCUUGAAAAAUCUAUCGGGCUCGAUGAUGUCAUGUUACAGUGCUAACAGAGAGCACACAGCUCAGCGUUCCAGCUCACUCUGAAUGAAAAUCCCAACCAGAAUUCAGGAUUGGAUGCAGCAGUACAGAUGCAACAGUACUCAUUGAGCUUGUCUUGCUGCCAUCGUGUCUGAAGAUCAAAUAGCUACCUAGGCUUUUUUUCAACAUGAGAAGCUAUGCUUUUGCUCAAACCUGCCCUGGCUGCCUGGAAUGAGGAAAAGGACAUUUCACAGAGAUGGAGGUGAAGGCAAGAUCUGAGCAAAUCAAAGUUGAAUUUAAGAAAGAAGAAUAUGGAGCUGGAAAAUUCACGAUGUGCUCUUGGAAAAGGGAUGAUCAGUGAUUAGGAGAGGAGCUAGUUUUCAAGAAAACUGAAGAGGUGACCCAGAUGAGCAAAGAUUAGGAUAAAAGAUUUCAUUUGUAUAAACACUUCGGGAGAGUUUCGUCUUGAGUGAAGGCAAAGCAAAAGUUGCAUGAUGAGACAUUUCUCAGCCAUGACUUCUGAACACUUACAGCCUUAGUGUGCUCCUAAGACACAGAGCCUUCUAAGAUCCAAGGAUGUCAUCUUACCUGUCUUUAACACUUUUUUUUGGAAGCAUCUAAAGAAAAACGUGAAACUGCCAUGGGCUGUGGAAGCAGAAAGCUAUUAAGAAUGCAAGGGCCUGCUGGCAUUGUAGAAAAAUCCAUUUCAUAGUUGUAUGGUUGCAUACGGUUUCCAAGGGACUGCUGGAUGUUUGCCUUUGAUGCGUGGAGCCUAAGUACAUCAGAGAGUAAUCUCUUUUUCUGAUGUGAGAACAUGGAGCUGCCACUGAAAACUGAAUCUCAGUCAAAGCAGGGAAGGUUGGCCUCUUUACAUUGGAAGAUCUCUAUCUGGGGUGUAUGCAUUUCAGAGCCUUCCCGCCUGUUUUUGAUGAGCUGCGUGAAAUAUAUCACACUAAAUCCUUUGGACAAUGUUCCUCACAAGAAAAGAGGGAAAGGAACAGUGCAUACCGAGAAGAUGGAGGCAAGAUGGAAAUGGGAGCAUUUCACCCAGCCUUAUUUUGGAAUUCCAAGGGCUUAAUCAGCUGUUGGGAAAAAUCACAUCGUCCAAGGUGCAGCUGCAGAGUCUCCACCCUUUCGGCUGGAUAUAGGAAAAGGCUGCUUCGCCUCUUUACUGUCUUCUCAAAAGUAAUUUGCUGCUUGUGAUCUGGUGUAACCGCUGCCCAUGGAACCCCCAGCGCCUUUCCUCUCUGGAGUGGCUUCCUCCAUGCAGGACUUACCACAACAGACCCCACAUCAGAUGCUGCUGGUGGAGAUGGCAGAGGAUGGCACAAAUGAAGACAAGGAGGACUCGGGGUCCUGCUUCUUUCCAUGUCCCUGUGGCAAAGGGAGAGCGAUCGCCCUUGUGCGAGUUGGCAAUCAACUACAGAUACUUGCAGAAAUGAAGCUGUUGGUCCCAGGUUCAUCCUGUCUCACCGUGGCGCUGGGCUCAGCUCCUCCAGGAUGGACAUUCAGAAAAUGGACAGAAUAUUGAUUUGCAGGGGGCCGGAAACAAACCUGCCCAGGCAGGAGUCAGACCUCUGGAGCUACGGUGUCCUUAUGGAAGGAGAAAUGAUGCUCGCAAAGAAUGUAUGCCUACAGCAUCAGCUGGUGACCAAGACAGUGGACCACUGCCAAAGUGGUCCAUGCCCACCAGCCUCCAGUCUGCUGCUGCUGAUGUCAAUGACUACCAAAGAGUGAAGUCUGAGGCCCUGUGCAAGACAGCAAUCAAAUCCUACCAGUUCAGCAGCGCGUGUCCACCACACAGAGGGUGAGCGUGAUCAGAGCAUGUUAGCACUGAAAUAACAACUCAAAAGAGUUUUGUCUUAAUAAGAAAUUUUAAAUGUGAGAAUAGUCUACCAUGGGAUGAAGGCACAUGGUUGAAAACAUGCAGAAUGGGGGUAAUCCAGAGGAAACAGUAGUAAAUUGUGUGUAUGUCCUGAACUUCUUGCUACGAGGGAUUUGGGGAUAUGAGACAUUCUCAAGGUACUUGUCAUUCUACCAUCUCUUUAAAAGUAUUUGGGAGUUGGCCAAUUUUAAGUUUUGGAAGCUGAAAGCAAGCCUUCCCUGAAGGCAGGGUGACUCACAAAGAACUGCUGCAGGAUUGCUCUGCACCCUCUAGUACAGCAGUCUUGAGAAAGCAUCCCACAACACACAAAUCAGAUUUUUACCAAUGUGUUUGUGGAAAAAGGGUCAAGUAAGAUUGGAAAGUUUGUAAGUAUGGAAAUGGUAGAAUAAUCUUCUGUGAAAAUUGCAUAGUUUGACAAAAAAAUAACAGCUUUAAAGUGUUUCUUUUUUUUUUUUUUAUUUGAGGAGAGAAAAAGCCACAGUCAAAAUGUCUGUUUCAGAAUGGCCACCGAACGCACAAGGAAGACACCACCUUUCUCCAUGCUUCCACCUGAAAGGUGGCGAAGAUCUCUCCAAUAAUGCCAUAUACCAUCAUCCAUCACGACAGAUUCAAGGUGGAGAAGGAAGAACUAACUCUUCCUCCUGGAAGCCAGAAGAGUUUAUAAGAAAGAAGAUGAAGUGGAAAACCUUGUGUCCCUCUUCUGGAUGACAGCAAGAGCAUUACCAAACAUGCCAUGUCAAAAAUACUCCAGGUAGUGAGGUGACAGUCAGCUCCUUCAUAUCUAUUUCAAGCAUUUUCAGAUCACUGGCUGUGCACGUUGUCCUUGUACUUGAGGAGGAUAUUUCACUGAAGAAAUGAGAACAGAUGAACUACGAACUUGCACAGAAAAAUCACACACGUUUUAGAUGUCAAUCUCCAAUUAUCAGUGACCGAAAGAGCAAAGGACACCACUCCAGUGCCAUGCUCAAUAUUCCUCCCAGUUGUAAUACGGGCGUGGAUGUACGUUGGCACUGGCCCAAACUGCCUUAAAGGACACUUAAACCAUUUCGGAUACAAAGCUUUCACAGCUUGCUUCUUAACUUGCUUACAGGAUCCGAGAUAAUACCUACGGUGCAGCAAUACUUCAGUGCCAGGGAGAGCAUUUGUGCACGGAUCCUGUCCUGUCCAGAGCACUGGAAACGUCACAGCAGUGUGAUUGGAAGAGUCCCAC